AUUGAACGCUGGCGGCAUGCCUUACACAUGCAAGUCGAACGGUAACAGGUCUUCGGAUGCUGACGAGUGGCGAACGGGUGAGUAAUACAUCGGAACGUGCCUAGUAGUGGGGGAUAACUACUCGAAAGAGUGGCUAAUACCGCAUGAGAUCUACGGAUGAAAGCAGGGGAUCGCAAGACCUUGCGCUACUAGAGCGGCCGAUGGCAGAUUAGGUAGUUGGUGGGAUAAAAGCUUACCAAGCCGACGAUCUGUAGCUGGUCUGAGAGGACGAUCAGCCACACUGGGACUGAGACACGGCCCAGACUCCUACGGGAGGCAGCAGUGGGGAAUUUUGGACAAUGGGCGAAAGCCUGAUCCAGCAAUGCCGCGUGCAGGAUGAAGGCCUUUGGGUUGUAAACUGCUUUUGUACGGAACGAAAAGCCCCGGGUUAAUACCCUGGGGUCAUGACGGUACCGUAAGAAUAAGCACCGGCUAACUACGUGCCAGCCGCCGCUGUAA
This 498-nucleotide ribosomal RNA is filed under the name uncultured bacterium. RNAcentral describes it as "partial 16S ribosomal RNA". It matches the Rfam family "Bacterial small subunit ribosomal RNA", at positions 30 to 523 of the family's 1533-position model. The record is from RNAcentral.